RNAcentral lists this ribosomal RNA (494 nucleotides) under uncultured bacterium. RNAcentral describes it as "partial 16S ribosomal RNA". It matches the Rfam family "Bacterial small subunit ribosomal RNA", at positions 28 to 506 of the family's 1533-position model. The record is from RNAcentral.
GACGAACGCUGGCGGCGUGCCUAAUACAUGCGAGUAGAACGCUGAAGGAGGAGCUUGCUUCUCUGGAUGAGUUGCGAACGGGUGAGUAACGCGUAGGUAACCUGCCUGGUAGCGGGGGAUAACUAUUGGAAACGAUAGCUAAUACCGCAUAAGAGUAGAUGUUGCAUGACAUUUGCUUAAAAGGUGCAAUUGCAUCACUACCAGAUGGACCUGCGUUGUAUUAGCUAGUUGGUGAGGUAACGGCUCACCAAGGCGACGAUACAUAGCCGACCUGAGAGGGUGAUCGGCCACACUGGGACUGAGACACGGCCCAGACUCCUACGGGAGGCAGCAGUAGGGAAUCUUCGGCAAUGGACGGAAGUCUGACCGAGCAACGCCGCGUGAGUGAAGAAGGUUUUCGGAUCGUAAAGCUCUGUUGUAAGAGAAGAACGAGUGUGAGAGUGGAAAGUUCACACUGUGACGGUAUCUUACCAGAAAGGGACGGCUAACUACGU